UGGACAUUCACUGCUGUCUGGAACAGGACAAGGAGCCAUCCUGCCUUAUUUCAUCAGCUUGGCACAGCUACCACUGGUGCAAGAUCACAAAUGAUGAAACACCAUCCCUCAUUCCGAAGAGCAAAGAAACAAUAAUAUGACAAUCCACAGUUAAGGCUGGUGGUGGUGACAUAUGUGUUUUUCUAGGUCAGCUGUGCAGGAAAAGGACUAGUUAUUUGGAAUAAUU
This 226-nucleotide long non-coding RNA is filed under the name Numida meleagris (helmeted guineafowl). RNAcentral's name for it is "lncRNA (ENSNMEG00000020996.1)". The record is from RNAcentral. Lineage: Eukaryota; Metazoa; Chordata; Aves; Galliformes; Numididae.